RNAcentral lists this transfer RNA (73 nucleotides) under Hyperolius marmoratus (marbled rush frog). RNAcentral describes it as "tRNA-Asn". It matches the Rfam family "tRNA". Rfam says of the family: Transfer RNA (tRNA) molecules are approximately 80 nucleotides in length. Their secondary structure includes four short double-helical elements and three loops (D, anti-codon, and T loops). Further hydrogen bonds mediate the characteristic L-shaped molecular structure. tRNAs have two regions of fundamental functional importance: the anti-codon, which is responsible for specific mRNA codon recognition, and the 3' end, to which the tRNAs corresponding amino acid is attached (by aminoacyl-tRNA synthetases). tRNAs cope with the degeneracy of the genetic code in two manners: having more than one tRNA (with a specific anti-codon) for a particular amino acid; and 'wobble' base-pairing, i.e. permitting non-standard base-pairing at the 3rd anti-codon position. Lineage: Eukaryota; Metazoa; Chordata; Amphibia; Anura; Hyperoliidae. The record is from RNAcentral.
UAGAAAGAAGCUUGUUGGUUGAAGCAUUUAACUGUUAAUUAAAAUAUUGCGGGAUCGAAGCCCGUCUUUCUAG